Molecule: ribosomal RNA, 301 nt
Filed under: uncultured bacterium
Lineage: Bacteria
Description: partial 16S ribosomal RNA
Rfam family: Bacterial small subunit ribosomal RNA
Source: RNAcentral
CAGUCGCCGCGGGAAAACGUAGGUGGCAAGCGUUGUCCGGAAUUAUUGGGCGUAAAGGGCUCGCAGGCGGUUUCUUAAGUCUGAUGUGAAAGCCCCGGCUCAACCGGGGAGGGUCAUUGGAAACUGGGAAACUUGAGUGCAGAAGAGGAGAGUGGAAUUCCACGUGUAGCGGUGAAAUGCGUAGAGAUGUGGAGGAACACCAGUGGCGAAGGCGACUCUCUGGUCUGUAACUGACGCUGAGGAGCGAAAGCGUGGGGAGCGAACAGGAUUAGAUACCCCUGUAGUCCCUGUCUCUUAUACA